UACGAGGGGGGCAAGUGUUGUUCGGAAUCACUGGGCGUAAAACGCACGUAGGCGGACUCUUAAGUCGGUGGUGAAAUCCUGGAGCUCAACUCCAGAACUGCCUUCGAUACUGAGAGUCUUGAGUCCGGGAGAGGUGAGUGGAACUGCGAGUGUAGAGGUGAAAUUCGUAGAUAUUCGCAAGAACACCAGUGGCGAAGGCGGCUCACUGGCCCGGUACUGACGCUGAGGUGCGAAAGCGUGGGGAGCAAACAGG
This 253-nucleotide ribosomal RNA is filed under the name uncultured bacterium. RNAcentral describes it as "partial 16S ribosomal RNA". It matches the Rfam family "Bacterial small subunit ribosomal RNA", at positions 524 to 776 of the family's 1533-position model. The record is from RNAcentral.